RNAcentral lists this transfer RNA (77 nucleotides) under Candidatus Koribacter versatilis Ellin345. RNAcentral describes it as "tRNA-Met (CAT) (tRNA-Met-CAT-1-1)". It matches the Rfam family "tRNA". Rfam says of the family: Transfer RNA (tRNA) molecules are approximately 80 nucleotides in length. Their secondary structure includes four short double-helical elements and three loops (D, anti-codon, and T loops). The record is from RNAcentral. Lineage: Bacteria; Pseudomonadati; Acidobacteriota; Terriglobia; Terriglobales; Candidatus Korobacteraceae. RNAcentral also lists the same sequence under 2 other names.
GGCGGCGUAGCUCAGCUGGUUAGAGCGACGGUCUCAUAAUCCGUAGGUCCGUGGUUCGAGUCCACGCGCCGCCACCA